Molecule: long non-coding RNA, 622 nt
Organism: Magnolia sinica
Lineage: Eukaryota; Viridiplantae; Streptophyta; Magnoliopsida; Magnoliales; Magnoliaceae
Exons: 4
Source: RefSeq, a predicted model, not a curated record
UCACUUGCAUCAUCUCCAUAUCUCAUGCCUCUCUCUCCCUCUCCCGAUCUCUCUCACUUGCAUCAUCUCCAUAUAUCGUGCCUCUCCCUCUCUCUCUCUCUCUCUCUCUCUCUCUCUCUCUCUCUCUCUUGCAUCAUCUCCAGAUCUGGUGCGGCCAGCAGCCCCUGCCCUUCAUCUCUUCCCCGGCCAGAUCUAGAACUAGGGUUAAAGCAUACGCUUCCUCCUCUCCUUGAAGUUCUCAGCUCACUAUCCUUCUCCUCCCCUUGAUUCCACAAAUUCUUAAGGAACCGAAGAGUCGAUCUCCAGACCAAGAUAGCAUGCAUCCAACAUCAGCAGACAUUGAAGUAGAACUGAAGUCAGAGUUGGAGCAUUUUGAAGAGGUAUUCCAGCAGAAACUUUCCAUAGUAGUUCCCUCCAGCAUGUAAAAGAAGCUGCCAGGAGCUGUACAGAUCUUGUAAAGAGACAAGGUUGUUUUCUUUCUUUCUUUUUUUUUUUUUCUUUUUUUCUUUUCAAUUUUCUUCUUCUUUUUAACUUGUUACCAUUAUUCUUGCUUUGGAUGGGCAAUUUGUAGUUCCAAUUAAUCAGGUGCCUUCAGUUCCCGUUUGGAUGCAAUAUAGAACUG